GUCCGGGUGGAUGGAACGGGAGACACGCCGCGCUCAGAACGCGGUGCCUGAAAAGGCGUGCGGGUUCGACUCCCGCCUCGGAUA
This 84-nucleotide transfer RNA is filed under the name Archangium sp. RNAcentral describes it as "tRNA-Leu". It matches the Rfam family "tRNA". Rfam says of the family: Transfer RNA (tRNA) molecules are approximately 80 nucleotides in length. Their secondary structure includes four short double-helical elements and three loops (D, anti-codon, and T loops). Lineage: Bacteria; Pseudomonadati; Myxococcota; Myxococcia; Myxococcales; Archangiaceae. The record is from RNAcentral.